GGCUGGUCUGAAGGUACUGAGUUAUCUCAAUUGAUUGUUCCUAGUCAGUUGUAGACUGAACUCCUGGUUAUAUUUUUUCUCCCCUUCUCACUACUGCACUUGACUAGUCUUAA
Molecule: unclassified non-coding RNA, 113 nt
Organism: Nomascus leucogenys (northern white-cheeked gibbon)
Lineage: Eukaryota; Metazoa; Chordata; Mammalia; Primates; Hylobatidae
Rfam family: Y RNA
About the family: Y RNAs are components of the Ro ribonucleoprotein particle (Ro RNP), in association with Ro60 and La proteins. The Y RNAs and Ro60 and La proteins are well conserved, but the function of the Ro RNP is not known.
Source: Ensembl